Molecule: non-coding RNA, 268 nt
Organism: Cinara cedri
Lineage: Eukaryota; Metazoa; Arthropoda; Insecta; Hemiptera; Aphididae
Source: the annotation of a GenBank genome assembly
GUAAUGAAUUAUUGACAAGAGAGAAUAUUAUACAAAAUCGCGAGGAAGAAGAAAAAGCAAAUAAGCGCCGAUGGUGAAGUGUUUUCGUCGAUACGCGGCGAAAAGCGAAAAAUCAAUCGAUAUUGUCGUUUAGGCGUAAAAUAUACGACCAAACGAGUUUACGGGAACUGCGGGAGAUCGUAAAAUUAUGACCUACACUUGAACAAAUUUAUUGACUAUUUUUUCCCCAUCAUCACGAUUAAGAAUCAAGAUUUCCGAAAGAAAAAAA